UAUAUAUCAGUAUAUAGGAGGCACAAAAAAUUUUGAUUUUUUAAGAAAUGGUUGAAAUCCGUUAUAUAUAA
RNAcentral lists this transfer RNA (71 nucleotides) under Sinopotamon yaanense. RNAcentral's name for it is "tRNA-Gln". Lineage: Eukaryota; Metazoa; Arthropoda; Malacostraca; Decapoda; Potamidae. The record is from RNAcentral.